Cavia porcellus (domestic guinea pig) is the source of this 3353-nucleotide long non-coding RNA. RefSeq lists it as uncharacterized. The transcript is spliced from 2 exons. The record is from RefSeq and is a predicted model, not a curated record. Lineage: Eukaryota; Metazoa; Chordata; Mammalia; Rodentia; Caviidae.
CCACACAGAGGUAAUUAUUGUUGGAAGCUCUUAUUGCAGGAUGUGAUUUGGGACUUGGGUUUUAAAAUCUGAAAAGAAACAGAACAGCAGUUGUCUUGGGCAGAGCAAUUUACCGAUGCAAUAUUUUUCUCAAUUAGACUCAGAUAAGUGUUCUCAAGUUGUUUGGGUUUUUUUUUUUUUGCAGGGAGGAGUGGUGUUUUAUUUUGUUUUAAUGCUUUUAAAAGCGUAUUACAACUGUUGGGAAAUUUUGCAGGAAGAGAUCAUUUCCAACCAGCUUUUGACAUCUGUGUGCCUCACUUACAGCUAGAUCACUUACCCAAUCAUGAGCGGCUUAAUCAGCUGUAUAUCUGCCUGUUAUUAAAACAGGACCACCAUGAAGGAAUGUCUACAAUGCUAUGACUUUGAAAGGAGUACAGUUCAGAAGGUAAAUCUCAGCAUUUUCGCUCAAGUCAUUCAUUCGCAGGGCAAACACUCCAGGAAAAUCAGAACUUCAGACAUCACUAGUGGUUGCAGGCUUGUUCAUCCUUAACUCUCCAGCUUCCAAAUCCAGAGCAGGAUCAUUUCCACCUAAAACUCCAACAUGAAGAAUCCAAAAUGACUUACUUGCUUCAUUCUAUAUCAUAAGAGUAUGAAUCUUCCAAGAUUAGGAUAUAUAUAUAUAUAUAUAUAUAUAUAUAUAUAUAUAUUAUUCCAAGAUUAGGAUAUAUAUAUAUAUAUAUAUAUAUAUAUGGAUUAUUUUACUAACUACACUUAUAAACAGUAAGAGGAGAACUGUGAGGGGUUUUUCUAUCCACUCUGUUCUCUGCAUUUAAGUUUCAGAGAAUUUAUCUUCAAUUCACUAAAUAACUUACUAGUCUUCUAUAAUGUCAUUUUUAGUACCUAAAGAGUCAACACAGGACUUGUAAUUAGCUUUUUUUUUUAAGACAUGACCUUCACCUGUAAAGUAAGUUGACCUCACAUCCCAACCCAUUAGAAAAGAUCUUGGCUCUUCCCAUCCCAGCCAACACAAUGACCGACAGCCCGCAACUUCUCCCCUUAAUUUGCUAGCUACUACACACACAUAAAAUUGCCUUUGUUCAGGCUCAGUCUUUCUGGGCCCAAGCCAAUCUUGAAUUUAAAUUUUUAAAAAGAAACUCUACUACAAUGAAGGAGCACUGUUGUGAAAUGAACUGUCUCUUCUAGAACACUAAUGGAUGCUUUUAAAACAACCUAGUCCCCAUUCCUGAAAGCGGGUGCUGAUCGACGUGGGCAGUGUAUGCCUGAGCUAUCGAGGUAAUUCAGAAUCACCAGGAGGACAGCUUCAAAAUUAAAAGCGAGGUGGGCGGGGCAUUAUUCUUUGACAAAUACACACACUGUCCCCACACAUACCACAACAACAGCCCAGUGAGAGAAUAUCACUUCUCCCCUACUAAGACUCACUUUAUGGAGGCAUCCAACCCAAAAUGCAGCAGGAGAGUAGAACCAAAUGUCCAGAUCCUGAGAGGAAUAACCUGCUGUCCCUUUAUGGGCCUGGUUAAUUCCACUGAAAGAGUGAUAGUUAUUUCUCCUUUAAUCUUUAGAUCAGCUGUCUAUUAUUGCUAAUGGUUUGUUUCCAAGUGUGGUUAUAAGCCAUAGCAUGCAAAGGAUUGUUUAUAAUUACACACUGUUGCUACCUUCAAAUUAGGUUCUUUUAAAUUAUACUGGGCAUUGGUGUGUGACUGACUCAGUUCGCUAUUAUACCAUAAUAAGCUCCUCCCUCGCCUCCCCCAUCUCUUUCUCUCCUCUCUCUCUCUCUCUCUCUCUCUCUCUCUCUCUCUCUCUCUCUCUCUCCCUCUCGCGCGCACACACACACACACACACACACACACACACGCGCGCGCGCGCUGUAAAGUAAAAUUAUUUUGAAGACUUUCCCCUCCUGGGAAUAAUUAUUGAGACUAAAGCAUUUCCUACAAAAUCCACAGAGGAAGUCGUGCCAUUAAGAACUAUUAGAAAUCUGUGUUUUGUAUACAGUCGAUAAGGAACUGACUUUUCAACACGUAUUGUUAAUAUAUUACUGUUCAGUUGCCUCCUUUCCCACAGUCUUAAGUGUGAGCGCUCUGAGAACCUUUGGUAAACUGCGGCUGAUUUCCCAGCUUCAAGGGGAUCAAACUCACAACUGCCUGCUUGCAAGGCAGGCGCUUAUGCCGCUGAGCUAAAUUCCCAGCUCUGGAUCCAACUAAGUAUUGACGCAGAAAUCACAUGGAACUCCGCGGAGAUCAUGAGAAAAAUCAAGAAAAGAACUGGAUUUGUAUUAAUAGACGCCGUUAGCAACUGAGAUGAAAAAAAUGAACAACAACAAAAAAGAAUCUAGAAAGCCCUGUGUUAGCCAAUUAGUUCACAAAUCACUGGAAAACAAACUCUUUGCUUGCUUGCUUUGCCUACCUGAUAAUUAAAAGGCGAAAUAGUAAGAAAAUGAGGCCAGAAGAAGCACUGAGCAGAGGUCUCAUCACACGCAAGUCAGACGUGCAAAUGGGAAUCUCAGGUGAGAAACAUUCAGAAGCAUUUGAAUUUGGUAUUCAUCAUAUAGCUCCGUGAACCCUCAUUGCUAAUAUUUAUAUUGUUUUUCCCUCUAAUGAUGUGCUACCAAUUCACCUCCUACAAGAGGUGGAACAAAUGCUCAGAUAAGAAAGUGUUUUAAAACAUGAGCUAUUAAACUUACAUGCCUCCACACCUUCCUUUUGAUAACCUAUCUUGAAGACUGUGAAAUAGAUCAACCACAUGUUGAAAUAAUAAACAAAUUUCUUUUAAAACCUUAUGUUGGGGUGGGGAUACAACUCAGUAGCACAGUGCCUGCCUGGCAACUACAAGGUCCUGAGUUUGAUUUCUGGUACAAAAAAAAAAAAAAAAAAGACACCUUAUGUCAAAUAUAAAAAUGAAUGUAGGAGUUGCAAUCAUUAGAGAUUCCAAAAGUAAAUGGGAAGUACAAGCAGCAAAUUUUUAAAAAAACAAAAAUUAACCUCCAUAAGCUAAUUAUAAGUCCUGUGUUGACUCUUUAGCCACUAAAAAUAACAUUAUAGAAGACUAUUAAGUUAUUUAGCCAGUUGAAAAUAAAUUCUCUGAAACUUAAAUGCAGUGACAGGUCAUGAAACACCACGAAACAUAGUAUCAUGGCAUCUUAGUGGAAGGUAGGUAUACAUCCAUAUAUUCCCUCUCUAACCCAUGGACUUGCAUUUCUACAGAAGCACAGGAAUAUACAGGUGAAUAAACAGGGCUAUGUGUAUGUGUGUGCUGAAAUAGAUAAAUCAUAACAAUUACAAUGGUUUUGUUUCCUAAGCUUCAUGUAUUGGUAUUUCAUCCUCUUAAUAGAAUAAUAAAAGAUUCUAUAAAAAUCA